Molecule: ribosomal RNA, 435 nt
Filed under: Chlorella sp.
Lineage: Eukaryota; Viridiplantae; Chlorophyta; Trebouxiophyceae; Chlorellales; Chlorellaceae
Description: bacterial SSU rRNA
Rfam family: Bacterial small subunit ribosomal RNA
Source: RNAcentral
UUAGCUUGUUGGUGGGGUAAAGGCUUACCGAGGCGAUGAUCAGUAGCUGGUCUGAGAGGAUGAUCAGCCACACUGGGACUGAGACACGGCCCAGACUCCUACGGGAGGCAGCAGUGAGGAAUUUUCCGCAAUGGGCGAAAGCCUGACGGAGCAAUGCCGCGUGAAGGAUGAAGGCCUAUGGGUUGUAAACUUCUUUUCUCAGAGAAGAAUUUUUGACGGUAUCUGAGGAAUAAGCAUCGGCUAACUCUGUGCCAGCAGCCGCGGUAAGACAGAGGAUGCAAGCGUUAUCCGGAAUGAUUGGGCGUAAAGCGUCUGUAGGUGGCUUAAAAAGUCUUCUGUCAAAGAUCAGGGCUUAACCCUGGGCCGGCAGGAGAAACUCUUAGGCUAGAGUUUGGUAGGGGCAGAGGGAAUUCCCGGUGGAGCGGUGAAAUGCGU